UCAUUUUUUGCUCAGUUGAUUAGAGUGCUGCACCGGAAUUGCAGGGCCAUAGGUUCAAUUCCUACCAGAGGAC
Non-coding RNA from Paramuricea clavata, 73 nucleotides. The record is from the annotation of a GenBank genome assembly. Lineage: Eukaryota; Metazoa; Cnidaria; Anthozoa; Malacalcyonacea; Plexauridae.